AACCUAGCACACCUGCGGUGUGUACCUGCGGAGGGAUCAUUACCGAGUGUGGUCCCAUAUAAGGGGCGCCUCCCGUCCUUUGCAGGGCCUUUAGGGGCUUUUUGACUUUGCUUCGGCGGGCUUGCCCCGCCGGAACACCCUCAAGAAAAUCUUUAUGAACCGUUUGUCUGAGUUGCUUGCGAAUAAAAACAAAACUUUCAGCAACGGAUCU
Molecule: unclassified non-coding RNA, 211 nt
Filed under: soil metagenome
Description: partial contains 5.8S ribosomal RNA, internal transcribed spacer 2, and large subunit ribosomal RNA
Source: RNAcentral